CCUACGGGUGGCAGCAGUGGGGAAUAUUGGACAAUGGGCGAAAGCCUGAUCCAGCCAUGCCGCGUGUGUGAAGAAGGCCUUCGGGUUGUAAAGCACUUUCAGUGGGGAAGAAAGCCUUGGGGCUAAUACCCUCGAGGAAGGACAUCACCCACAGAAGAAGCACCGGCUAACUCCGUGCCAGCAGCCGCGGUAAUACGGAGGGUGCGAGCGUUAAUCGGAAUUACUGGGCGUAAAGCGCGCGUAGGCGGUCUAAUAAGCCGGUUGUGAAAGCCCCGGGCUCAACCUGGGAACGGCAUCCGGAACUGUCAGGCUAGGGUGCAGGAGAGGAAGGUAGAAUUCCCGGUGUAGCGGUGAAAUGCGUAGAGAUCGGGAGGAAUACCAGUGGCGAAGGCGGCCUUCUGGACUGACACUGACGCUGAGGUGCGAAAGCGUGGGUAGCAAACAGGAUUAGAUACCCGAGUAGUC
This 465-nucleotide ribosomal RNA is filed under the name Vreelandella stevensii. RNAcentral describes it as "partial 16S ribosomal RNA". It matches the Rfam family "Bacterial small subunit ribosomal RNA", at positions 338 to 795 of the family's 1533-position model. Lineage: Bacteria; Pseudomonadati; Pseudomonadota; Gammaproteobacteria; Oceanospirillales; Halomonadaceae. The record is from RNAcentral.